UGAGGAAUAUUGGUCAAUGGACGAGAGUCUGAACCAGCCAAAUCGCGUGAAGGAAGACUGCCCUACGGGUUGUAAACUUCUUUUGUACAGGAAUAAAAGACAUUACGUGUAAUGUAUUGCAUGUACUGUACGAAUAAGCAUCGGCUAACUCCGUGCCAGCAGCCGCGGUAAUACGGAGGAUGCGAGCGUUAUCCGGAUUUAUUGGGUUUAAAGGGUGCGCAGGCGGGAUUUUAAGUCAGCGGUGAAAUUUUCAGGCUCAACCUGAACACUGCCGUUGAAACUGGGAUUCUUGAGGAUGGAUGAAGUAGGCGGAAUUCGUUGUGUAGCGGUUACAUGCUUAGAUAUAACGAGGAACUCCGAUUGCGUAGGCAGCUUACUAAGCCAUAACUGACGCUCAAGCACGAAAGCGUGGGGAUCAAACA
RNAcentral lists this ribosomal RNA (422 nucleotides) under uncultured bacterium. Its description in RNAcentral is "bacterial SSU rRNA". It matches the Rfam family "Bacterial small subunit ribosomal RNA", at positions 355 to 774 of the family's 1533-position model. The record is from RNAcentral.